Molecule: ribosomal RNA, 460 nt
Filed under: uncultured bacterium
Lineage: Bacteria
Description: partial 16S ribosomal RNA
Rfam family: Bacterial small subunit ribosomal RNA
Source: RNAcentral
CCUACGGGUGGCAGCAGUGAGGAAUAUUGGUCAAUGGGCGGGAGCCUGAACCAGCCAAGUCGCGUGAGGGAAGACGGUCCUAUGGAUUGUAAACCUCUUUAGGCGGGGAGCAAUGCCGGGCACGUGUGCCCGGAGGUAGAGUACCCGCAGAAUAAGCAUCGGCUAACUCCGUGCCAGCAGCCGCGGUAAUACGGAGGAUGCGAGCGUUAUUCGGAUUUAUUGGGUUUAAAGGGUGCGUAGGCGGACUGGAAAGUCAGCGGUAAAAUCGAGAGGCUCAACCUCUUUCCGCCGUUGAAACUGUCGGUCUUGAGUGGGCGAGAAGUAGGCGGAAUGCGUGGUGUAGCGGUGAAAUGCAUAGAUAUCACGCAGAACUCCGAUUGCGAAGGCAGCAUACCGGCGCCCGACUGACGCUGAGGCACGAAAGCGUGGGUAUCGAACAGGAUUAGAUACCCUGGUAGUC